RNAcentral lists this ribosomal RNA (496 nucleotides) under uncultured bacterium. RNAcentral describes it as "partial 16S ribosomal RNA". It matches the Rfam family "Bacterial small subunit ribosomal RNA", at positions 28 to 506 of the family's 1533-position model. The record is from RNAcentral.
GAUGAACGCUGGCGGCGUGCCUAAUACAUGCCAGUCGAGCGAACAGACGAGGAGCUUGCUCCUCUGACGUUAGCGGCGGACGGGUGAGUAACACGUGGAUAACCUACCUAUAAGACUGGGAUAACUUCGGGAAACGGGAGCUAAUACCGGAUAAUAUAUUGAACCGCAUGGUUCAAUAGUGAAAGACGGUUUUGCUGUCACUUAUAGAUGGAUCCGCGCCGCAUUAGCUAGUUGGUAAGGUAACGGCUUACCAAGGCGACGAUGCGUAGCCGACCUGAGAGGGUGAUCGGCCACACUGGAACUGAGACACGGUCCAGACUCCUACGGGAGGCAGCAGUAGGGAAUCUUCCGCAAUGAGCGAAAGCCUGACGGAGCAACGCCGCGUGAGUGAUGAAGGUCUUCGGAUCGUAAAACUCUGUUAUUAGGGAAGAACAAAUGUGUAAGUAACUAUGCACGUCUUGACGGUACCUAAUCAGAAAGCCACGGCUAACUACGU